This 327-nucleotide unclassified non-coding RNA is filed under the name soil metagenome. RNAcentral describes it as "partial contains 5.8S ribosomal RNA, internal transcribed spacer 2, and large subunit ribosomal RNA". The stretch from base 1 to 119 matches the Rfam family "5.8S ribosomal RNA", at positions 35 to 154 of the family's 154-position model. The record is from RNAcentral.
GAUGAAGACGCAGCGAAAUGCGAUAAGUAAUGUGAAUUGCAGAAUUCAGUGAAUCAUCGAAUCUUUGAACGCACAUUGCGCCCCCUGGUAUUCCGGGGGGCAUGCCUGUCCGAGCGUCAUUACAACCCUCAAGCUCAGCUUGGUGUUGGGCCCCGCCGCCCCGGCGGGCCCUAAAGUCAGUGGCGGUGCCGUCCGGCUCCGAGCGUAGUAAUUCUUCUCGCUCUGGAGGUCCGGUCGUGUGCUCGCCAGCAACCCCCAAUUUUUUUCAGGUUGACCUCGGAUCAGGUAGGGAUACCCGCUGAACUUAAGCAUAUCAAUAGCGGAGGA